This 216-nucleotide long non-coding RNA is filed under the name Brassica napus (rape). RNAcentral's name for it is "long non-coding RNA (BNAP_LNC001794)". Lineage: Eukaryota; Viridiplantae; Streptophyta; Magnoliopsida; Brassicales; Brassicaceae. The record is from RNAcentral.
UGUAAUCACAUUUAUUAUGGACUAAAAAGGCUUAGGGUCCAUCGUUAUCCACGGUGGUUCAUUUUAUUAUUUCCAUAACCAUUGCUAAAACGGCUAAACCCAGACGUUUGUUGCUUUUAAAGCCGUUGGAUCGGUAAGAGGAGGAGUCGUGGAGGCUCACAUGCACACAUCCUUCAGCUAUUUUGUUUUGUCUUUAUUGUAAGAGAGAGAGUAAAG